CUAUAACCCUCUUACUGCUUCCCCUAACCCCAUUAGUCCAAGCACUAAUAACUUAGAGACUUAGGAUAAUACCAGACCAAAAGCCUUCAAAGCUUUAAGUAGAAGUGAAAAUCUUCUAGUCUCUG
RNAcentral lists this transfer RNA (125 nucleotides) under Pimelodus pictus (Pictus cat). Its description in RNAcentral is "tRNA-Trp". The stretch from base 55 to 125 matches the Rfam family "tRNA". From Rfam's summary of the family: Transfer RNA (tRNA) molecules are approximately 80 nucleotides in length. Their secondary structure includes four short double-helical elements and three loops (D, anti-codon, and T loops). Lineage: Eukaryota; Metazoa; Chordata; Actinopteri; Siluriformes; Pimelodidae. The record is from RNAcentral.